UUCAGCGGUAGUCAGCUGUCCGUGUCAUUACCGUGCCUGACAGUGUUACACUGCUGGGAGAUGAAAAUAUUGUCCAGUCUGUCUGUCAUUGUCACCGUUCUGGAGGCAUUUUGGCAGCAGGGUGGGGCAGUGCUGUGCUUCUCUGAGAUUGUGCUGAGCAGUUAAUAUCCUGCUCAGCACUAGAAUGGGAGCAUACACA
Molecule: small nucleolar RNA, 199 nt
Filed under: Podarcis muralis (Common wall lizard)
Lineage: Eukaryota; Metazoa; Chordata; Lepidosauria; Squamata; Lacertidae
Description: Small nucleolar RNA SNORA74 (ENSPMRG00000005877.1)
Rfam family: Small nucleolar RNA SNORA74
About the family: U19 belongs to the H/ACA class of snoRNAs. snoRNAs bind a number of proteins (including dyskerin, Gar1p and Nop10p in the case of the H/ACA class) to form snoRNP complexes. This class are thought to guide the sites of modification of uridines to pseudouridines by forming direct base pairing interactions with substrate RNAs.
Source: Rfam by way of RNAcentral